This 928-nucleotide ribosomal RNA is filed under the name Klebsiella pneumoniae. Its description in RNAcentral is "bacterial SSU rRNA". It matches the Rfam family "Bacterial small subunit ribosomal RNA", at positions 65 to 984 of the family's 1533-position model. The record is from RNAcentral. Lineage: Bacteria; Pseudomonadati; Pseudomonadota; Gammaproteobacteria; Enterobacterales; Enterobacteriaceae.
AGCGGUAGCACAGAGAGCUUGCUCUCGGGUGACGAGCGGCGGACGGGUGAGUAAUGUCUGGGAAACUGCCUGAUGGAGGGGGAUAACUACUGGAAACGGUAGCUAAUACCGCAUAAUGUCGCAAGACCAAAGUGGGGGACCUUCGGGCCUCAUGCCAUCAGAUGUGCCCAGAUGGGAUUAGCUAGUAGGUGGGGUAACGGCUCACCUAGGCGACGAUCCCUAGCUGGUCUGAGAGGAUGACCAGCCACACUGGAACUGAGACACGGUCCAGACUCCUACGGGAGGCAGCAGUGGGGAAUAUUGCACAAUGGGCGCAAGCCUGAUGCAGCCAUGCCGCGUGUGUGAAGAAGGCCUUCGGGUUGUAAAGCACUUUCAGCGGGGAGGAAGGCGGUGAGGUUAAUAACCUUGUCGAUUGACGUUACCCGCAGAAGAAGCACCGGCUAACUCCGUGCCAGCAGCCGCGGUAAUACGGAGGGUGCAAGCGUUAAUCGGAAUUACUGGGCGUAAAGCGCACGCAGGCGGUCUGUCAAGUCGGAUGUGAAAUCCCCGGGCUCAACCUGGGAACUGCAUUCGAAACUGGCAGGCUAGAGUCUUGUAGAGGGGGGUAGAAUUCCAGGUGUAGCGGUGAAAUGCGUAGAGAUCUGGAGGAAUACCGGUGGCGAAGGCGGCCCCCUGGACAAAGACUGACGCUCAGGUGCGAAAGCGUGGGGAGCAAACAGGAUUAGAUACCCUGGUAGUCCACGCCGUAAACGAUGUCGAUUUGGAGGUUGUGCCCUUGAGGCGUGGCUUCCGGGAGCUAACGCGUUAAAUCGACCGCCUGGGGAGUACGGCCGCAAGGUUAAAACUCAAAUGAAUUGACGGGGCCCGCACAAGCGGUGGAGCAUGGGGUUUAAUUCGAUGCAACGCGAAGAACCCUUACCUGGUCUGA